UACGUAGGGGGCGAGCGUUGUCCGGAGUUACUGGGCGUAAAGGGCAUGCAGGCGGUUGUGCGCGGGUGCUGUGACAGCGCCUCGCUUAACGAGGCGAGCAUAGCACAGACGGCAUGACUUGAGGGCGCGAGAGGGACACGGAAUUCCGGGUGGAGUGGUGAAAUGCGUAGAGAUCCGGAGGAACACCGAAGGCGAAGGCAGUGUCCUGGCGCGUGCACCUGACGCUGAGGUGCGAAAGCCAGGGGAGCGAACGGG
Molecule: ribosomal RNA, 255 nt
Filed under: uncultured prokaryote
Description: partial 16S ribosomal RNA
Rfam family: Bacterial small subunit ribosomal RNA
Source: RNAcentral